GCAAACUUGGUCAUUUAGAGGAAGUAAAAGUCGUAACAAGGUUUCCGUAGGUGAACCUGCGGAAGGAUCAUUACCAGGGUUCUUUUCCAACCCAACUCAUCCACCGUGUGCACCAAUAGAAACGGAAAUCUCGGCAGAAUUCCUCCUCGGAAGGAAGGAAGGAAGGCGGGAUUUUUCUUUCACAUUUUCAAUCACCAACUGAACGUUUGUCUGAAUCUUUUUGUUAAAAAAAGAACUAAUACAACUUUCAACAACGGAUCUCUUGGCUCUCGCAUCGAUGAAGAACGCAGC
RNAcentral lists this unclassified non-coding RNA (291 nucleotides) under uncultured fungus. RNAcentral's name for it is "partial contains small subunit ribosomal RNA, internal transcribed spacer 1, and 5.8S ribosomal RNA". The stretch from base 1 to 73 matches the Rfam family "Eukaryotic small subunit ribosomal RNA", at positions 1759 to 1831 of the family's 1831-position model. Lineage: Eukaryota; Fungi. The record is from RNAcentral.